Leptonychotes weddellii (Weddell seal) is the source of this 2685-nucleotide non-coding RNA. Lineage: Eukaryota; Metazoa; Chordata; Mammalia; Carnivora; Phocidae. The record is from RefSeq and is a predicted model, not a curated record.
GCAACAGCCUGGAGGGUGUGGGGCGUGGGGGACGGACAGACGACAGACACGGGACAAGCCAGGAGGAAAGGGCUCUGACAGCGCCCAUCUGGCCUGCACGAAGCAUGCCUCCUUGAAGAUGCGGAUGGGCCUUCGUUUGUAAGGAAUACUGGAGGCGGCCGCAGAGAAGGCGUUGGGAACCCCUCCACCUCCGUGCCCUCCAGAAAGGUAGCGGGACAGUGGGAGAUAAGGUGGAGGAGGCGGACUGUGAGACCCGGGGUUUGGGGGAGCCAGGAGGGGCGCUGUGAUCCUCCCAUCCUAGUGCACCAAGCACUGAGACCGCCACGACGCGGACCUACGGCGAGGGUGGGAAGGAGCGGAUGGGAGUGCCCCUCUCUUCCCCCCCGCCGACCCUCGCCCACUCUUGUGUGAAGCCGCUGCCAAGGGUGGAGUCGGGAGAAGGAGCUGAGAACCCCGUUCCCACUGAGCAGGAAGGGAAAGAAGUCCGCAAUUGAGAGAGAUUCGACCCUCCCCUGAUGUAACCGUCACAGAGGAGACGGACCAAUGGGCAGCUGGCUCUGCUGUGAUGGACAGGGGCUGGAUUUUUAAGACCCCUGGGUUAGGAUUCCCAGGGAACUGGACCCUGAAUCACCUGGAUCUGUGCCUCCCAGGAAGCUGUGUUGUAACUACUCGAAACUGCGCUGCACGUGUGAAAACGUGAACUUGCGGUUCGUGGCCUCAGGUGAGAGUUCUCAGCUUGCUCCUGUGAAGAUUCCUUCCUGUCCACGACCCAGCUUUGCCUGUGCCCUGCUGACAGCUCCAUGAGGUUGGGGAGUGAGGGAUCUCGGCUCAGGGCUCUGGGCUGAGAGAUGACCCAGGGGUCCACCUUGACCCUGGGGCUCCUGGAGGCUUGGGGCCCUGAAGUGUAUGCAGAGUGAGGGGGGCGGGGUCCCUGUCCUAUCCAGACCCUGACCCCGAAUGAAGCCUCAUUGUAGGGGCUGGGGCAGAAUGACCCAGCGAUUUCCUGGAAGGCCAGAGACCCGAGGGUGACCGUCAAGGUGGCCUUAAAGGUAACACUUCCCCUCCUGAGGGAGGUCAUGAUCCUUGCGUGUGAGGGUCCUCAGAGGAAGUAGAGGCCUUGUUCUCGGAGAUGGUGGGGGGAGGCACAACGUGGGAGGAAAGGGAUGGGCAGAGGAAAGUCACGGGCGGCCCCGGCCACCGCCUCCCUCCAGCGUCUGCGUGCCCGGCUCUUUUCGGAGACGCCAGCUCAGUCCCCCACCCCCCACAAAAGACAGCGCCGCGCCCAGACCCUCACCUUCUCAGGGUUUAUUUCCAGCCCCGCCCCUCCGAGGCCUGGCCACGCCCCCCAGCCCGCACCGCGACGCCGGGGACCUCAGGCGGUGCUCUGCAAGCGGCAGCAGCGAGCUCCGGUCCAGUCCAUGGCCGCGCACUGACAGUGGCAUGUGGCCUCGGCGCGCACGUCCCACGAGCCACAGGCGGAGCCACAAGUGCAGGCGGUGACGGCGAAGCCUGCGGGCGGAGCGGAGGGAGUCUGGACGCGGGCGGGAGGCUACCGGCCUGGGGGUCCGGGGGGAAGCCAAGGAAUGAAUGGGAGCCGGAUUGCGUGGGCGGCUGGGGGCCUGGGCUCCAGUGUCCUAAGCUGUCCCGGAGCUGGGGCCGCAGACCAGCACCCUGGGGAAGUUGACUCAAGAAAUAGAGGCUGGACUUAGGGGGAGGGGUUCCUGGGUGCUGGGAACAGAAGCGAGAGCCUGGAAAAGGUCUUCGGUACUCACCUGCGGGGCAGGUGGCCAGGUCCCCCCUGGAGGUGACGCUCCGGCAGCUCAGGCCAAAGUUCCUCCUUGUCUCAAGAACUGCGGGAGGGAGGAGGGAAGGAAGCCCUGAGACCAAGCUGCCCCUGUUCUCAUGUGGCCUUGGCCCUGGUGGUUUGGAGAUAGGCAGGGGGUCAAGAAAACUCUCCUGAGGAAGGCCCAGGUGGGCCAGGCCCUGGUGGAGAGCCAUGAGAUGGGAAGCUCAUCACCUCCCAGGUUCUGUCUUGAGAUGGGUGUUUUGGAGGAAGGAGGAUUUGGAGCUUCUGCCAAAGAUGGAGCUGGAUGGGGGCUGGGGUUGGCUUGGGUUUGGGGUGGAGGUUUGGUUCUGGUUGGGGCUGAAUUGAUGGCUGCUCCAUGUCAGGAAUUAGAGGGGGCCUCUGAGGCCCCUGCUGAGGUUGCAAGUGAGGGUCCUCACUUAAGGAUCUGGUGCCAUCCUGGAUCUUCUCAUUGAUGGCUUCAUCCACUGGACACAGAGACUUGCCACACACCAGCUGCCCCAGGACAGGGAGGAGGAGGAGGGCAAGAGCCUUCAUCCGGCAGGUGCUGCAAGACGGAACCAACAGCCGGGUCAGUCCCUUCUCAUCUGGGGAGGGUCAAGCCUCCAGAGCAGGCUUCUGCUGGAUGUGGAGCUUCCUGUCUUAGCUGAGUGUCUUGGCUCCCUGGCCAUCCCCUCCCACAUCCGGGACCAAGAGGAAGCCCCCAGGGCAGACUCUAGGGGCCCAGAGUGGAACAAUCUGCAACAGACGGUGGCAAACUUGCAGCCCAUGGGACAAAUCUGGCCCACUGUCUAUUUCUGUGCAACCCAUGAGCUAAGAAUGGUUUUUACAUUUUGGGGGGUUUUUUUGGUUUUUGUUUUUAAUACAAAUGGAUUUUUAAA